This 479-nucleotide ribosomal RNA is filed under the name uncultured bacterium. Its description in RNAcentral is "partial 16S ribosomal RNA". It matches the Rfam family "Bacterial small subunit ribosomal RNA", at positions 28 to 507 of the family's 1533-position model. The record is from RNAcentral.
GAUGAACGCUAGCGGGAGGCCUAACACAUGCAAGCCGAGCGGUAGAGUUCCUUCGGGAACUUGAGAGCGGCGUACGGGUGCGUAACACGUGUGCAACCUACCUUUAUCUGGGGGAUAGCCUUUCGAAAGGAAGAUUAAUACCCCAUAAUAUAAUGAUUGGCAUCAAUUAUUAUUGAAAACUCCGGUGGAUAGAGAUGGGCACGCGCAAGAUUAGAUAGUUGGUGAGGUAACGGCUCACCAAGUCAAUGAUCUUUAGGGGUCCUGAGAGGGAGAUCCCCCACACUGGUACUGAGACACGGACCAGACUCCUACGGGAGGCAGCAGUGAGGAAUAUUGGACAAUGGGUGAAAGCCUGAUCCAGCCAUCCCGCGUGAAGGAUGACGGUCCUAUGGAUUGUAAACUUCUUUUGUACAGGGAUAAACCUACUCUCGUGAGGGUAGCUGAAGGUACUGUACGAUUAAGCACCGGCUAACUCCGUG